GACGAACGCUGGCGGCGUGCUUAACACAUGCAAGUCGAACGGAAAGGCCUUGCUUUUGUGGGGUGCUCGAGUGGCGAACGGGUGCGUAACACGUGAGUAACCUGCCCUUUACUUUUGGAUAACUUCAGGAAACUUGGGCUAAUACCGGAUAGGAGCUCCUGCUGCAUGGUGGGGGUUGGAAAGUUUCGGCGGUUGGGGAUGGACUCGCGGCUUAUCAGCUUGUUGGUGGGGUAGUGGCUUACCAAGGCUUUGACGGGUAGCCGGCCUGAGAGGGUGACCGGCCACAUUGGGAGUGAGAUACGGCCCAGACUCUUAAGGGAGGCAGCAGUGGGGAAAAUUGCACAAAGGGCGGAAGCCAGAAGCAGCAAAGCCGCGUGCGGGAUGACGGCCUUCGGGUUGUAAACCGCUUUCGCCUGUGACGAAGCGUGAGUGACGGUAAUGGGUAAAGAAGCACCGGCUAACUACGU
Molecule: ribosomal RNA, 467 nt
Filed under: uncultured bacterium
Lineage: Bacteria
Description: partial 16S ribosomal RNA
Rfam family: Bacterial small subunit ribosomal RNA
Source: RNAcentral